GGUUGACCUCGGAUCAGGAUGGAAUACCCGCUGAACUUAAGCAUAUACAUAA
RNAcentral lists this ribosomal RNA (52 nucleotides) under Phaeomoniella chlamydospora. Its description in RNAcentral is "partial 18S ribosomal RNA". Lineage: Eukaryota; Fungi; Ascomycota; Eurotiomycetes; Phaeomoniellales; Phaeomoniellaceae. The record is from RNAcentral.